Molecule: ribosomal RNA, 498 nt
Filed under: Necrosciinae sp. 6 SB-2021
Lineage: Eukaryota; Metazoa; Arthropoda; Insecta; Phasmatodea; Lonchodidae
Description: partial large subunit ribosomal RNA
Source: RNAcentral
GGGAGAAUCCUGAAUUCGAAAGGGAUUGGAUUCAAGUCCAUCCGAGCUGUACGGGGCUCCCUAGCCAGAUGGCGCUGGUCGCCCGCUGCGGUUCACUCCGUCUGCGGUGUCGUUCCCGGCGAUCACUCGGCGAGGUGCAGUUUUCCCGGGGCCGGUGGAGUGCACUUCCCCCCUAGUAGAAACGUCGCGACCCGUUGGGUGCCGGUCUAAGGCCCGGGAUGGCAGCCCGUGUGUCCUGUGGGGGCUCCCACAGGCGCGUGGACACCUGGUGACCCGGCCGGCUGCCCGACGGUAUGACCAGAGGAGUCGAUCCGCUGAAUGGGAAACACUGUGGUUGUGUAGCGUCCGGCCCGGCGCCGACGCGUGCGGGGAUUGAGGUGUAAACCGGGGGUGUCCGUGCGAAGCACGGCCCCGGCCCCGCUGCGCGUUCGGAUUGUUCGGUGUCCUCGGACUGGAUCAGCACUCCCGUCUGCGACGCCACCUUCGGAUGGUCUCCCG